Molecule: ribosomal RNA, 253 nt
Filed under: uncultured bacterium
Lineage: Bacteria
Description: partial 16S ribosomal RNA
Rfam family: Bacterial small subunit ribosomal RNA
Source: RNAcentral
UACGAAGGGGGCUAGCGUUGCUCGGAAUCACUGGGCGUAAAGCGCACGUAGGCGGUUUGCUAAGUCAGGGGUGAAAUCCUGGAGCUCAACUCCAGAACUGCCUUUGAUACUGGCGGACUUGAGUCCGGGAGAGGUGAGUGGAACUGCGAGUGUAGAGGUGAAAUUCGUAGAUAUUCGCAAGAACACCAGUGGCGAAGGCGGCUCACUGGCCCGGUACUGACGCUGAGGUGCGAAAGCGUGGGGAACAAACAGG